AUUGAACGCUGGCGGCAUGCUUUACACAUGCAGGUCGAACGGCAGCACGAAAGAGCUUGCUCUUUUGGUGGCGAGUGGCGAACGGGUGAGUAAUGCAUCGGAACGUACCGAGUAAUGGGGGAUAACUGUCCGAAAGGAUAGCUAAUACCGCAUACGCUUUGAGAAGGAAAGUGGGGGCUCUUCGGACCUCACGUUAUUCGAGCGGCCGAUGUCUGAUUAGCUAGUUGGUGGGGUAAAGGCCUACCAAGGCGACGAUCAGUAGCGGGUCUGAGAGGAUGAUCCGCCACACUGGGACUGAGACACGGCCCAGACUCCUACGGGAGGCAGCAGUGGGGAAUUUUGGACAAUGGGCGCAAGCCUGAUCCAGCCAUGCCGCGUGUCUGAAGAAGGCCUUCGGGUUGUAAAGGACUUUUGUUAGGGAAGAAAAGGAUAGUGUUAAUACCAUUAUCUGCUGACGGUACCUAAAGAAUAAGCACCGGCUAACUACGUG
Molecule: ribosomal RNA, 490 nt
Filed under: uncultured bacterium
Lineage: Bacteria
Description: partial 16S ribosomal RNA
Rfam family: Bacterial small subunit ribosomal RNA
Source: RNAcentral